GAGGGCGCUGGGCGCAGGUCCCGGAGGGGCUUAGGGCCACCGGCCGCCCGAGUUGGGACCCCGACUCAGCCACGGAUAGGCGUGGAAGCCGGGCAGGCCGGAUCGCGCUGUGCCUCCGCGUUCCCAUCUCUGAAACGGGCUACUGGGGAGCUGCCUUCUCAGUCGAGGGUGCUGAGAAGUCAGACGGUCUGUGCACGGCGCAGAGCGGGGUCCGGCACCGCUCGCCAGCCCCGGAAACCCGCGUGAGCCGCUGGCCCCGCCGCGCUCCCAUCUGGGUGACGGGCUUGCUUCAGAACUCCGCGAAACGCUGGGCCUGGGCCUCACCCUGCACGGAGAGAACUCCCGGGCUGGGCGGAGAGGUGGGAAACGGAGGCUCCCGGAGGCAGAAAAGGACUCUGCCAAGACCGGACCGCCGCGGCGGGGGCAGACUUCGAACCUGGGAUUUACCGCAGAGCCCGAACUUGGAGGCGAGGGUUCCGCAGUUGUGAACGAAGCUGGAGGCGCCCCAGGAAGCCCCGACCCCACCCGCGCCCAGCUGCUCCCGGAGAUCGUCCUGCGCUGCAGGCCCGCGAGGGCCCCGGGGUUCCCACGCCUGGGGUCGGAAUCCGGCCUCCGGUGAGGCACCGAGGCCCGCCUUUCUCCGCCCUGGUUCCCGGCCGCCCUCCCCUUCCCCCUGCACUCUGGGCCCCUCGUCUCCCGAGGAAGGCCACGAGAACCGGCCCAAGGUUUGUGCACUUUGAAGCUGUUUUUCUUUUCUUAAAAGAAAAUCCUGAAAUUCUAAACAGAUCCUCCUCAAUCGUGGAAAAAAAAAAAAAAAAGAUUUUUACAUCUCGUCUAGAGCAUUCGUCUAACUUAAUUUCACCGCGACUCUGCAAGCCCUGGGGGAAGGAGGUUGUGCCAUUGGAGGGUUGAGAAGACUGAGGCUCCACGACAGUGAAGGGGGGGGCUUGGGCGAGUCGUGUUGUUGGGAUAUCUGAGAGCGAUUCAGGAGCCGCCGCGUUUGCCCGCAAGCCUCCACUAUGCAGGCUGGCUUUCCUUCCUUCCUUCUCUCCUUCCUAAGUACCCACUUCACGCCUGUCAGGGUGUGGCUACUAGAGACUUAUUGAUGAAAGAGAACAGAUCUGGCCCUGCCCUCCUGGCACUUACAAGUGAAGGGGAAUCAGACACUAAGCUCGUGGUUACACGGAGAGCUAAAAAUUCCAGGUAGGAUACAGGGAGGGGGCUGGGCCAGUAGUGGAGAGGGUGCCAGGCUCUGCCUGGGACUGGGCAGGGCUGCGCUGGUGCAGGUGGUCCAGAGCCUAGCGAAGCCAGGAAGGAGGGAGCUGCAGACGGUGCAAAGGUCCCCUGGGUGAGGGCUAGAACUUGAAUGUGGAGAUCAGGUUGUUUGACCCAGACUGGCCUCCACUGUUGUAACUGAGGUGGGGACAGGGUGAUGUCAUCACCUUGUCUUGCUAGCACCAGGAACCCAGUAGCCCUGGGGUCCUAACAGCGUCCAAAUCUGUCCUUCAUCCUCUUGGAGGAGUCACAGCCCCAUGGUAAGGAAGGGCAUGAGUGCACACUACCACCCCCGUGGAUGCAUCUGCAGCAGCUGCUGGCUGAGCAUCACUCCUGCUUGGAGUACCAGCUCUCUGAGAGUCAUUUGGGAGGUUGAUGGCCUGGGCCUGGCCACAUAGCCUGGGCACUGGUUCAGAGGUCAGCAUGUGGCCCAGGCUGGGACGUUGACAACUUGCUUCAGCACAUGAGGGAAACCAGCAGAAAAGGUGAGCUUGCUUGGCCUGGCACAGUGGCUUCGGUCUUCAUCCCAGCACCUUGGGAGGCCGAGGCGGGAGAAUCGCUUGAGGCCAGAAGCUGGAAACCAGCCUGGGCAACAACAGAGAGAUCCAUCUUUACAAAGAGUGAAAAAAAAAAAAAAAAAAA
Long non-coding RNA from Macaca fascicularis (crab-eating macaque), 1917 nucleotides. The record is from Ensembl. Lineage: Eukaryota; Metazoa; Chordata; Mammalia; Primates; Cercopithecidae.